GAGAUAGCUUAGUCGGAAAAGCAUGAGACUCUUCAUCUUGGGGUUGUGAGUUUGAGCCCCAUGUUGGGCA
Molecule: non-coding RNA, 70 nt
Organism: Podarcis lilfordi (Lilford's wall lizard)
Lineage: Eukaryota; Metazoa; Chordata; Lepidosauria; Squamata; Lacertidae
Source: the annotation of a GenBank genome assembly